ACGGAUGGCUGGAGGAAAAUAAGAGUUUUUAUUAUGAGCAAAAAAGCAGGAUGGAAAUGAUUGGCUGGUUCUGUGUACUUGUUUCCCUGUGCAACCAACGAACAAGUAAACAGAAUGACUGAAAUGAGUUUGUGCUUCACUCCAUUCGAGAACCAUUGGAGUGGGAGGCGAGACUCGACACACGCGCGCACACACACACACAGUUGCCCAGGCGUCGUCACACACACAGGUUGCAGACUCAAUCUCGCUGCUUUACAAGGCUGUAUUUGAGUGACACGUGUCUUUAAGGGUGUCUGCUCGGUACAAGUGACAGAUUAACAUGAAUUUUGUAUUGUCAACAUGAGAAACACUCUUGAGAGCCGUGGUAGUCGCCUCUGUGGCCUUGAAAAACACUGGUGAUGGCAGCGCGAAGUGUUUCUGCACACGGGACAGUCACUCAGUCACACACUCAGUCAUUGUACUUGUAAGAACACACGCACAGAGAACUACGCGAGGCUGCCACCCACAAAAAAGCUUACGGAUUCACGCCCUCUCAUUCUGGCGAGCUAGGGAAGGAGCAGCGAGGUGUGGGUGGGGCUGUAACUCACACGGGGAUAUCUACGAGAGAUGGGAGAAAUAGAAACUGUGUAGAGGAAUGAGGGACAGGCGGCUCCCUUGACUCCCCCCCGUGCUGUGGUGGUGACCGUCGCACCAAGCACGCCUUGAGCACCGCCAGGAUCUCGGCAGGGUUCGGUGACCUCCGCUUCGAGAUACCCGUCCAAUUUGUGCGGCGCUAGAGAGGAGCGUGGGGCUGCAGCAUUGAAGCCAGUGGUGGGGCCCGUGUCCCUCCACUCAUGGCGGUGCUUGGCUCGACGCGGCGGACACUGGUGGAUGAGAGCACGCCCUUGACUGCUGGCUCCUGGAUGCUGAGCACUCAUGAACACAAGCCAUCACAUUGCAUUUCUCUCUCAUUUGGUGCCGUGGCUGGAACUGAGAUCGUAUUUCAUUACAAUGUCUUAUUUAUUUAUUUAUUUUUGUAUUUAAGAUCGGUAAUGACAAGGGCAACAAAAAAAAUAUAUAUAAGAAAAUAUACACCGAGGCGCCAGUCCCUGAAAAAAGAAAAACAUAUCUUGAAUUGGAGAAUACUUACUUGUCUCGAAACUUCGCUCUUGAAAGAAUUCGCCAUAUCAAAUCUGCAAUAUCUGGCUGAUGCUGCUGCAAAUUGUACUGUUAUUAUCCCCAUCAGUUAUUAAAGCAGGAUAUAUGUAUUGCUUCCUGACCCCAGACGUGUGUGUGUGUGUGUGUGUGUGUGUGUGUGUUACAAGCGCCGUGGUGUGAAGGGAAUAAAGGCUGGAGGAGUGUCUGAGAAUGUUUAACCCAAGUGAGGUGGUAAGGCAGAGAACGGGACACGUGGUAUCUUCAGUUGCUUUUUGUUUUUUUCGCUGUCUUUUGGUCCCCUUGUCUAGAAUGACUCUUAAAUAUAUUAUAAAAAGUACGCUGAAGUUACCGCGAGGUGCAGCGAAGUUUGGGCACCUAAUAAAGAGUAUGAUCUGUACUACCGGUGCUGAAACUUGAGUGAGCUUUUUGAUGUUUUGGAUGCUGUGAAGAGUCUGAGCCAUUUAAGAGAAUAUAUUUCGUAUCGACACGAGUAAAGGUUUCGUCUCUUUCCUAGGCGCACUGAAUGAACAUGGGGCGCCUACGAUAGCAUUGUAUUACUGACGGUGUUCGGACUAGAGGGAAAAUUUUCGAAGGCCACUCUGUUGAAAAGAUGCUGUGGUGUUGGUGGUCUUGUGCAGUGGAGUUUGCGUGUUGUUUGGUCAAAUAAAAGACGUCAAUUUGUUUGUGCAGUGGAGUUUACGUGUUGUUUGGUCAAAUAAAAGACUUCAAUUCGUUUUCUUUGUUUACUUGGUUAUUUUCUUCUUAAUCUUCUCUGGUGUGAAAAAAAAAAAAAUGCUGUGGUUCACGACGAGACUGGCAACUAGCUCAUGAUUAAAAAUAAAAGUAAAAAAAAAAAAAAUAUUCGAACUCAGUGCCGGAAAAAAAACUUGCCACAGAUUCGGAUAACUGAGUAAACGAGUCGUGAGUAGGUAGAGAGUCGCGAAGGGCGUGUUGGGGCAGGUCAGUCAGUAUCUAGGUCAAGGUCAAAUGAAAGUGAAGGUCUAACAGACUCAAAUGUAGUCAAGGUCACACAAUGGACUCGCCCUGUGUCCUCCCCUACUGUGAAAUGGACUCGCCCACCCUAACAAGCUAUUCCCUCUCCCCCUUCUGUCUCUACCUUACCAAACCUUACCGUCCCUUCAACCCAAGCGUAUAAUGGACUCGCCCUGUGUCUUCCCCCUACUAUGAGAAUGGACUCGCCCUCAUUUUCUUCGUCCUCUUUACCAAACCCUGCCCAAUCUAUUAAUGGACUCGACCAGUACCACCUCCAGCAUCUUUCCUCCCCCACUCUGUCAAUGGCCUCGUCUUGUAUCUUGAAACACGCUUUUAAUGAUCAAACUGCUGUAGGAGAGGCAGUACUCCUUGGGUGCUGGAAGCGUUCAUUGCCGGGGUGCUGGCGGGGAGCAGGUAACGAUGCUUUGUGUGGUAGUAACUGUUGUGUUGGAUGCCAAGACGCUUUGCAGGACUGAAUUCAUCCUCUAUUUUUACCUACUGUAGUGUGAACCUGCUUCAUAAAGAUACCUAAUUUCUUGUGUCUUAUUCAUUAAGGCAUUAGCGCGACAUGCAAUACGAAAUUCAGAUGGUGUCACAAGGCGGCUCCUCCAGCUGAGAUUAUUCUACAAUGCAUGGACUUCGGCAGCACGACAACCUUAUUCUUCCUGCUCUCUUGUGCGAGGUCACUGCCAAGGUCCGUGUUCUACAGUAUAAUGAAGAGGUCAGAUGGUGUCACUGUAUGAAAUGUGUUCUGCCGACAUGUUCAGUGCCUCGAGAUUUCGGUGUCAUUGCAGCCUCGUUGUAUCUUCUCGUACGGCGCUUCAUCCUUACUUCAUACCCGGUACAGUCUGUGGUUGCCUGCUGCUCUUCCUUCCUCGCACAGCUGUCGACAUUGACCUCAUGACCGGUACAGUCUGUGGUUGCCUGCUGUUCUCACUUCCUCGCACAGCUGUCGACAUUGACCUCAUGACCGGUACAGUCUGUGGUUGCCUGCUGUUCUCACUUCCUCGCACAGCUGUCGACAUUGACCUCAUGACCGGUACAGU
Molecule: long non-coding RNA, 3176 nt
Organism: Scylla paramamosain (green mud crab)
Lineage: Eukaryota; Metazoa; Arthropoda; Malacostraca; Decapoda; Portunidae
Exons: 4
Source: RefSeq, a predicted model, not a curated record